Non-coding RNA from Araneus ventricosus, 72 nucleotides. The record is from the annotation of a GenBank genome assembly. NCBI's taxonomy places the organism in Eukaryota, Metazoa, Arthropoda, Arachnida, Araneae, Araneidae.
UAUUUCCGCCCGGGAUCGAACCGGGGACGUGCGCGUGUGAAGAGCACGUGAUAACCACUACACUAUGGAAAC